RNAcentral lists this ribosomal RNA (506 nucleotides) under uncultured bacterium. RNAcentral describes it as "partial 16S ribosomal RNA". It matches the Rfam family "Bacterial small subunit ribosomal RNA", at positions 29 to 523 of the family's 1533-position model. The record is from RNAcentral.
AGUGAACGCUGGCGGUAGGCCUAACACAUGCAAGUCGAACGGCAGCACAGGAGAGCUUGCUCUCUGGGUGGCGAGUGGCGGACGGGUGAGGAAUACAUCGGAAUCUACUUUUUCGUGGGGGAUAACGUAGGGAAACUUACGCUAAUACCGCAUACGACCUACGGGUGAAGGCAGGGGACCUUCGGGCCUUGCGCGAUUGAAUGAGCCGAUGUCGGAUUAGCUAGUUGGCGGGGUAAAGGCCCACCAAGGCGACGAUCCGUAGCUGGUCUGAGAGGAUGAUCAGCCACACUGGAACUGAGACACGGUCCAGACUCCUACGGGAGGCAGCAGUGGGGAAUAUUGGACAAUGGGCGCAAGCCUGAUCCAGCCAUACCGCGUGGGUGAAGAAGGCCUUCGGGUUGUAAAGCCCUUUUGUUGGGAAAGAAAUCCAGCUGGCUAAUACCCGGUUGGGAUGACGGUACCCAAAGAAUAAGCACCGGCUAACUUCUUGCCAGCCGCCGCAGAAA